This 257-nucleotide ribosomal RNA is filed under the name uncultured bacterium. Its description in RNAcentral is "partial 16S ribosomal RNA". It matches the Rfam family "Bacterial small subunit ribosomal RNA", at positions 524 to 776 of the family's 1533-position model. The record is from RNAcentral.
GACGUAGGGCGCGAGCGUUAUCCGGAAUCAUUGGGCGUAAAGCGUGCCGAUAGGUGGUUUUGAAAGUCUUGGGUAAAAGCCAGAAGCUUAACUUCUGAGUUUGCUUAAGAUACUGCAAAACUAGAGGGGCAAAGAGGUGCUUGGAACGAACGGUGUAGUAGUGAAAUGCGUUGAUAUCGUUCGGAACACCGAAAGCGAAGGCAGAGCACUGGGUGCCACCUGACACUGCUAGGACGAAAGCGUGGGGAGCGAAUGGG